RNAcentral lists this ribosomal RNA (354 nucleotides) under uncultured bacterium. Its description in RNAcentral is "bacterial SSU rRNA". It matches the Rfam family "Bacterial small subunit ribosomal RNA", at positions 30 to 396 of the family's 1533-position model. The record is from RNAcentral.
AUUGAACGCUGGCGGCAGGCUUAACACAUGCAAGUCGAGCGGAGACUUCGGUCUUAGCGGCGAACGGGUGAGGAAUGCCUGGGAAUCUGCCUGGUAGUGGGGGAUAACGUUCCGAAAGGAACGCUAAUACCGCAUACGUCCUACGGGAGAAAGCAGGGGACCUUCGGGCCUUGCGCUAUCAGAUGAGCCCAGGUCGGAUUAGCUAGUAGGUGAGGUAAAGGCUCACCUAGGCGACGAUCCGUAGCUGGUCUGAGAGGAUGAUCAGCCACACUGGAACUGAGACACGGUCCAGACUCCUACGGGAGGCAGCAGUGGGGAAUAUUGGACAAUGGGCGAAAGCCUGAUCCAGCCAUG